This 107-nucleotide ribosomal RNA is filed under the name Acanthosepion pharaonis. Lineage: Eukaryota; Metazoa; Mollusca; Cephalopoda; Sepiida; Sepiidae. The record is from RNAcentral.
UACGACCACAUUACGUUGAAAUACCGGUUUCCGUACGAUCACCGAAGUUAAGCAACAUUGAGGCUAGUCUGUACCUAGAUGGGUGGCCGCUUGGGGAUACCAGGUAU